Molecule: long non-coding RNA, 100 nt
Organism: Larimichthys crocea (large yellow croaker)
Lineage: Eukaryota; Metazoa; Chordata; Actinopteri; Sciaenidae
Exons: 2
Source: RefSeq, a predicted model, not a curated record
AGGCCGCCAGGUUGGCACGUGAACGCAAACUGAAGGAGCUGUCUGCCCAGAGGAAACGUGGCAAAGCAGAUGGCUCCAGCAGUGAAACUCAGCAAAAAAA